RNAcentral lists this ribosomal RNA (414 nucleotides) under uncultured bacterium. Its description in RNAcentral is "bacterial SSU rRNA". It matches the Rfam family "Bacterial small subunit ribosomal RNA", at positions 362 to 773 of the family's 1533-position model. The record is from RNAcentral.
UAUUGGUCAAUGGACGAGAGUCUGAACCAGCCAAGUAGCGUGAAGGAUGACUGCCCUAUGGGUUGUAAACUUCUUUUAUAUGGGAAUAAAAUGAGUUACGUGCAGCUUUUUGUAUGUACCAUAUGAAUAAGGAUCGGCUAACUCCGUGCCAGCAGCCGCGGUAAUACGGAGGAUCCGAGCGUUAUCCGGAUUUAUUGGGUUUAAAGGGAGCGUAGGUGGAUUGUUAAGUCAGUUGUGAAAGUUUGCGGCUCAACCGUAAAAUUGCAGUCGAAACUGGCAGUCUUGAGUACAGUAGAGGUGGGCAGAAUUCGUGGUGUAGCGGUGAAAUGCUUAGAUAUCACGAAGAACUCCGAUUGCGAAGGCAGCUCACUAGACUGCAACUGACACUGAUGCUCGAAAGUGCGGGGAUCGAAC